RNAcentral lists this ribosomal RNA (253 nucleotides) under uncultured bacterium. RNAcentral describes it as "partial 16S ribosomal RNA". It matches the Rfam family "Bacterial small subunit ribosomal RNA", at positions 524 to 776 of the family's 1533-position model. RNAcentral also lists the same sequence under 1 other name. The record is from RNAcentral.
UACGUAGGGUGCGAGCGUUAAUCGGAAUUACUGGGCGUAAAGGGUGCGCAGGCGGUCCUGCAAGUCAGGCGUGAAAUCCCCGGGCUUAACCUGGGAAUGGCACUUGAAACUACGGGACUGGAGUAUGGCAGAGGGAGGUGGAAUUCCACGUGUAGCGGUGAAAUGCGUAGAGAUGUGGAGGAACACCGAUGGCGAAGGCAGCCUCCUGGGCCAAUACUGACGCUCAUGCACGAAAGCGUGGGGAGCAAACAGG